AAACUGAGGGAUAAGCACCGGAAACGGUGUCUAAUACCGCAUAUGGUCUUCGGAUUAAAGCUUCGGCGGUUUGGGAAGAGCCCGCGUAAGAUUAGCUAGUUGGUGAGGUAAUGGCUCACCAAGGCGACGAUCUUUAACUGGUUUGAGAGGAUGAUCAGUCACACUGGAACUGAGACACGGUCCAGACUCCUACGGGAGGCAGCAGUAAGGAAUUUCCACAAUGGGCGAAAGCCUGAUGGAGCAACGCCGCGUGCAGGAUGAAGGCCCUAGGGUUGUAAACUGCUUUUAUAUGUGACGAAUAUGACGGUAGCAUAUGAAUAAGGAUCGGCUAACUCCGUG
Molecule: ribosomal RNA, 339 nt
Filed under: uncultured bacterium
Lineage: Bacteria
Description: bacterial SSU rRNA
Rfam family: Bacterial small subunit ribosomal RNA
Source: RNAcentral